Molecule: long non-coding RNA, 189 nt
Organism: Sander lucioperca (pikeperch)
Lineage: Eukaryota; Metazoa; Chordata; Actinopteri; Perciformes; Percidae
Exons: 4
Source: RefSeq, a predicted model, not a curated record
UGUUUAUCUGCUAAUUCAAAAAUGGCGGUCACAAGUUUCUGUUUGUCUUGUUGGUCACGGUAACCCCGCCCCCAGCCGCUGACGUAAGCGGUUCUUACUUCUGGCCCAGCAAUGAUUUGAACUCUCUGGCUCCGAACCAGCACCAGCUCUGCCUUGGUGGAAAAGGGGUACGACAGACACACAAACAGA